Molecule: long non-coding RNA, 3546 nt
Organism: Solea senegalensis (Senegalese sole)
Lineage: Eukaryota; Metazoa; Chordata; Actinopteri; Pleuronectiformes; Soleidae
Exons: 5
Source: RefSeq, a predicted model, not a curated record
GAUAAAGCAGUAGAAGAAGAAGAAGAUGAUUUCCCAGAUUUCAGCAUCUGAGUAUUUAUUAGUUAGUACAACAUUAUACAAGUAGUGGUGGGACAAGAAACUACAGCAGGAGAUGGGGAAACGUUUCCUGUGGAAUGAAGUCAUCGCUGUUUGAGUUUAAAGUUUGUAGUUUGAAACAGGCCUUUGUUACAUAACUCCUGCCUUGGUAGUCGUCCAUCUGGGAGUACUCUAUUGGCACGCACAAACAUGUGUGAGAGAGUGUCAGAGUGUGUGGGUGAGAGCAAGAUGGAGACAAGAGUGACUGUGUGUGUGUGUGUAUGUGGGUGUAUGUCUAUCAGCUUCAAGUGCAUUUAAUGCAACGUUAAAGUCUUUAAUUUCACAAUUCAUGUAUUUUACACCUGAUGCUAUGAAUAGAAUGGCAGUGCACCGAAGCCAUUUUUUUUGUCUUGUCCUCGGUCCAAAAAGGUAUUUUACAUGGUAAAUUUGUGCAUUUGUGUGUGUGUGAGUGUGUGUGUGCGCGGGCAGUAGCAGGCUGGUGGGUGGGCGGCUUACUGCCUUCCUUCCCUCCGCAGUCAGAGACACUUCCACAGCGUUUGCUACCAGAGCCAUUCACAGCCUUCACUGACAGGAUGCAGGCCAAGCUGGAGCUGCUAUUGCUUGGCUUCAGGAAAAACCCACUUGGUUCCAGCAUCGUAGGCUGCAUUAGUGUCACCAUUACUCAGCCUCUUAGGAGGAGGAGGAGGAGCUCGGUCAUAAAUCUGUGGUCGUGGCAGCGUGUCAUAACACGACCCCUUACAUGCACAGGUCUGCAUGCAAGAAUACGAUUAUGGUAUGUAUAAAAAGCUCAUUCGGGAUCAGACAAUUGAAUGUGCCUUUAAAAAAAAACACAUAAAGACACAAGCAAGGCUCAGAGUGAGGAAUCAUCACCUGAGGGUAUGUUCUACCAGCAGAGAACAUAAUAAGAAGUCACGCUGUUGCUUACUUGACUACAGUGGGGGUUCACUGUCUUUUAGGAGGCCGUCGUAAACUAAACAUCACGUCCUGAGGCGAAAAGGAUCAUACAGACACUGACUUUAAGGCGCACAACAAAAAACAAAGGUCACCUGGAGGGAAAACUCCCAAAUACAGCAAAUAAAGCAGCUGUGCACCUUCCGCCCAGCCCCAAAGGAGAAGUAGAGUUUGUAGACAAAACCAGACUUCAAAAGACGAGUGAGGAAUACGACCCAUAGCUGGGAUUGGCACCAGCGACCCUCAUGUGGAGGAUAAAGUGGCAGAAGAUGAGUGAGUAAAUCACCUUUCAUUCCAUAAGAUGUUUUUUGUAAACGAGUAGUUUACCUAAUGUAGUAUUUCUGAUAUACACCUACCACAACUUAAAUGUAUUUCACUGGUCACUGCAGUGUUAAUUUAAACAACAUGUGUUUCUGAAACAGCCAAAUCCCUAUAUAAUUGAGUACAUUUACGUAUAGGGUUUAAAGGCAAACAUCUACCCAUAGGAAGAAGGGAUAACAAUGAACCUUCUACAUUCAACCUGAUGGAAAAAAAAGGCACAGCUUUCUCUCUCUAUUUUCAUUGCCAGCACAAUAAACUGCAGGGCCACACAACAUACUGAAUAAUUAAAGGUGUUUGGAUGUGUUUGCACUCUUAUUGAAGAGAAUAGUCCCAGGUAGAAUAUUGUUUUCACCCAUGAGUGGAAAACCUUGGUGUCACUGAGUGUUUUGCUGAUGUAUUAUUUCUCUGCAGCUUCAGGCCCGGGCUCACCUUGUUAAAAAAAAAAGAAAAAAGUAUAAUGAUUCCAUGAGGUAAAUAAUUCAGAGUUACAUUCCUGCUUCAUCCCAUCAGAAGUCAACUGAGGUCCAAAAACAUACAGUAAGUGCAGACUCUGCAUCGGCAGAGCUGCAUCAUUCAAUCGUCUUCUUAUUCCUUUGAUGAAGUGGCAGCAAAAGACAGUGGAGGUGCACAGCAGGGUCAACGUUUCUGUUUUUAGAAAUGUCACCUAAAUAACACUUCAGCUUGAACAGGUGCUCAGCAGGUCAAACCUCAAAGGAAGACAUGUUUCAAAAAAAUACACACCAUCCUGUGUUUACAUUAAGAUUCAGCUGCUGCACUUGAUAAUUAUCAGAGAAUGGAUCAAAUGACUAAGUAUAGUAAUGAUGCUGAUGUCACUCUCAUAUAGCAGCUACGGAGUCAUUAGAUAUUUUAUGAAUAACAAACAAUAGUGGCAACAACAGUGCUUAUUUGGGCAUUAAAUAAGUGGCGACUGGUUGUGAUGUCACCCGUAAGAAUCUGGACGAUAGCAACUGUCAAUCACACUAGAGGACUAUAUGAUUUUUUUUUAUAUACAGUCCAUGGGCUAACCUGCUAUUUGUGCAGGUUUGUAAUGGUUUAAAUUGAGGAGGUGAUUAUUGUAUGUCAUGUGAUGACAUGUCCAUCAAAUGGACUUCAUGUGCUAACAAUAUGUCAAUGUUGUUUUCACAGGUUUCUCUGGACGCGGCGAACAUGUACAGUACAGCUACAGAUGCUGCUCCUCUGCGUAUCUUCAAAGUUCGCAACUCGUUGUGGGAACACUGGUGUCGGCGCGUUCACGCCGCCCCAAAAGGGACAAUUCCCAAGCAGCACCUUCUAUAUUUGAGUUGCGUAUGCCCUGCUGAGUUUCCAAUUUGUCUGGCUUAAUCGUUGGCGGUUGAGCUUCCAGCUGGGCGAAAGGAAGGCCGACUCGACCGCAUCAGAGGGGACGGCAAGUUUAAGGAGUGCCCGACAUCAGAGGCCGUGCGGGCCACUGACAGCUGAACAGAAGCACACGGUGCCACAUUUGGCUUUUAGUUUAGUGUGCAGUUCCCCUCAAUGUAUCCCAGCACUAUGAUUAUCUCUGUCACCGCUGCCUUACAAUGGAACAAAGAGGAUUGUUUUCUCAGGAUAGCUUUGGGAAACUGUAGCCCAGAGGUUUAACUGCCGAUGAAUGAGGAGAAUCACGCUCAUAAUUUGGGAAGGGCAAGGGCGUCCAGGCCUUGUGGAAUAAAAAAAGGGAAAAGUUUCUUAAUGAAGGAGACGCUCUGGGAAUUUUCUCUGCGCUGCGUGCCUCUGCAUUUCCUCAGCGAACCCCGUCAGUGUCCUCAUGGUCACCCCUCCGCAGCUGGAGCAUGUGCUCCACAGCUAAAGGGUUUACUGGCAGAAGAAAACCACCACAAAGUGGAGAGAAAAGAGCAGGGUACCCCUCUAACCACAGAGCAUUUGUCCACAUGCUGCUCCAGUCAGUAUAAACACAUGCACAGGAACUUCGUGUGCACGUGAAGACGCACAAACUCCAUUCUCAUCUUGAACUCUUUUUGUGUGUGUGUGUGUGGGGAUUCUCUUUGCUGCACAGAAGGUUAGACAAGCAUGUGGAGUAAAUAAAAGACUUUAAAUUUAGGAGUAGGCAAGCCCAGAGAUUAGAGAAGCUGACUUAAAGAUGCAAUAUGUAACAUUUUUGAAUAAAAUUAUAUAAAAACAGCUCAUGUUAUCAGCCAGUGUUUUAGGUGUAGCUCCAUAGAAAUAAAUAUUUCAAAAUUC